GGGCUACUAAUUAGCCUUGGGCAAGAUCCAGAAUGCAUUCACAGAGGAAGACUUAACUUGGACAUGGAAGAAUGGAGGUGAAUGGACAGGCCGGAGGUAGACCUGGAAAGUCUGGGAAGCCAGGGGAUUGAUAAAAACCAUGUGCUGUGUGGUGAGCACCUGCUUUGCUCUGGGCAUUCUGUCCAGCUGUCCAGUCUGUGAGAGAUGGUGACAUUUACAACUGUUACAAGACAACUGUCCGGGCUGUCUUCCACAAUGCAGCACAGGUCCAAGUGGCUACCAUCUGGCAGGGCAUCUGCUCAGCCACCAGGAGGGCUUCGGCUACAACAACAUGCCCAUGGAGAAGACAUUGCACUCUGAUCUUUUGAGGGAGGAGAACACCUUGUAUUUCCACCAUGCAAGAGAGACUUUCUUCACUUUUCCAAUGGGCUUCAAUUUUCAUCAAGGAACCUGAGAGAGUCCCUCUGUUGUUUUCUUCUGCUUUGUCUUCUGGAGCUCAGGACAAUGGACUUCAUGACACCCUCUGCCUCUGUGAUGUGGAUCCAGGUACCGGGGCAGCCAGGAGGCCAGAGGUGGGAAGAGAGGGUGCUGAGGUGGUGUGGCAGGUGCCCACUCCUUGCUUGAAGGCCUGGGGUGGGGGUGGGGCAGUGCCAAUGGUGGCACAUGUAGCUCAGCUCUACACAGCUCCUUAGUGCUUAAUUUUGGAAGUGACAUCUGAACAUAUCCUAGUCUAAAUUAUUGGACAUUCAAGAAAAUUUAACCAAAAUGGCAUAUUUUUGAAUUUUCA
Molecule: long non-coding RNA, 787 nt
Filed under: Heterocephalus glaber (naked mole-rat)
Lineage: Eukaryota; Metazoa; Chordata; Mammalia; Rodentia; Bathyergidae
Description: lncRNA (ENSHGLG00000035703.1)
Source: RNAcentral